GCCGGGUGUGGUUGUGCACACCUGUAAUCUCAGCUACUUGGGAGGCUGAGGCAGGAGAAUUGCUUGAACCUGAGAGGCAGAGGUUGCAGUGAGCUGAGAUCGCACCACUGCACUCCGGCCUGGGUAACAGAGCAAGACCCUGUCUCAA
Unclassified non-coding RNA from Macaca fascicularis (crab-eating macaque), 148 nucleotides. It matches the Rfam family "Metazoan signal recognition particle RNA". From Rfam's summary of the family: The signal recognition particle (SRP) is a universally conserved ribonucleoprotein. NCBI's taxonomy places the organism in Eukaryota, Metazoa, Chordata, Mammalia, Primates, Cercopithecidae. The record is from Ensembl.